This 468-nucleotide ribosomal RNA is filed under the name uncultured bacterium. Its description in RNAcentral is "partial 16S ribosomal RNA". It matches the Rfam family "Bacterial small subunit ribosomal RNA", at positions 28 to 507 of the family's 1533-position model. The record is from RNAcentral.
GACGAACGCUGGCGGCGUGCUUAACACAUGCAAGUCGAACGGAAAGGCCCUGCUUUUGUGGGGUGCUCGAGUGGCGAACGGGUGAGUAACACGUGAGUAACCUGCCCUUGACUUUGGGAUAACUUCAGGAAACUGGGGCUAAUACCGGAUAUGAGCUCCUGCUGCAUGGUGGGGGUUGGAAAGUUUCGGCGGUUGGGGAUGGACUCGCGGCUUAUCAGCUUGUUGGUGGGGUAGUGGCUUACCAAGGCUUUGACGGGUAGCCGGCCUGAGAGGGUGACCGGCCACAUUGGGACUGAGAUACGGCCCAGACUCCUAUGGGAGGCAGCAGUGGGGAAUAUUGCACAAUGGGCGGAAGCCUGAUGCAGCAACGCCGCGUGCGGGAUGACGGGCUUCGGGUUGUAAACCGAUUUCGCCUGUGACGAAGCGUGAGUGACGGUAAUGGGUAAAGAAGCACCGGCUAACUACGUG